RNAcentral lists this ribosomal RNA (426 nucleotides) under uncultured bacterium. Its description in RNAcentral is "partial 16S ribosomal RNA". It matches the Rfam family "Bacterial small subunit ribosomal RNA", at positions 355 to 774 of the family's 1533-position model. The record is from RNAcentral.
UGGGGAAUAUUGGACAAUGGGCGAAAGCCUGAUCCAGCCAUGCCGCGUGUGUGAAGAAGGUCUUCGGAUUGUAAAGCACUUUAAGUUGGGAGGAAGGGCAUUAACCUAAUACGUUAGUGUUUUGACGUUACCGACAGAAUAAGCACCGGCUAACUCUGUGCCAGCAGCCGCGGUAAUACAGAGGGUGCAAGCGUUAAUCGGAAUUACUGGGCGUAAAGCGCGCGUGGGUGGGUGGUUAAGUUGGAUGUGAAUCCCCGGGCUCAACCUGGGAACUGCAUUCAAAACUGACUGACUAGAGUAUGGUAGAGGGUGGUGGAAUUUCCUGUGUAGCGGUGAAAUGCGUAGAUAUAGGAAGGAACACCAGUGGCGAAGGCGACCACCUGGACUAAUACUGACACUGAGGUGCGAAAGCGUGGGGAGCAAACA